Molecule: RNA transcript, 1926 nt
Organism: Eleginops maclovinus (Patagonian blennie)
Lineage: Eukaryota; Metazoa; Chordata; Actinopteri; Perciformes; Eleginopidae
Gene: gps2
Gene name: G protein pathway suppressor 2
Exons: 11
Source: RefSeq, a predicted model, not a curated record
GCAGUUCGUUGGGAUACAUCGGAUGUCUUGCUUGGAACCGGAAGCGCAACAUUAUCACCCGGGCUGAAAACCUCUAUGACUGUUUAUAUUUUGGGUGAAUUUCGUUUGUUCAACUGAUCAAAACACACUUGACUUGCAUCGAAUUUAAAACCGCACGACGGUUAGGUUUUUACUGAACGACCAUCGAAGCAACAAAACUGGCCCCUCCACUUCCUGUCACUAUGCCCGCCCUUCUGGAGAGACCCAAGCUUUCCAACGCGAUGGCCCGAGCCCUCCACAAGCACAUCAUGAGGGAGAGGGAGCGCAAGAGACAAGAGGAGGAAGAGGUGGACAAAAUGAUGGAACAGAAGAUGAAAGAGGAGGAGGAGAGGAAGAGGACGAAAGAAAUAGAGGAGAGGAUGUCUUUGGAGGAAACAAAAGAACAGGUAAUGAAGAUGGGGGAGAAACUGCAGGGACUUCAGGAGGAGAAACACCAGCUCUUCUUACAGCUGAAGAAAGUACUUCAUGAAGAGGAAAAGAGGCGGAGAAAGGAGCAGAGGUAUGACAUCACAACGUUGACGUCGGCGAGCUACCAACCCAGCCUGCCCAUGCACGCAGGGCAGCACCUUCUCAGCAUUCAAGGCAGUCCAGUCAGCCACAGUCGACCUGGUGCACUUCUCGGAGAACGUAGUAAACAGCUGUUCCCCGCUGCUGUGAUUCCAGCACGUCACUAUCAGACCCCCGGCUUCGGCUCAAGCCCGGCAGAGCAUGGACAGUUCAGCGGGAGCCAGGGGGUCCACGAGCCCUAUGGAGUGGCUCAGGCCCAGCACCCCUCCACCUACGCCGCCGGACCAUCAGUACCUGUCAGUUUCGCCAGCAGCUCUCAGAUCAGAGGUGCGUCUGCAUUUCAGGCCAUGCAGUACCUCCCCCACCAGCAGGCUGGAUACCCUGUCCACAGUCACUUCACCUCCCAGCCUGGGUAUAUUCCUGGAGCAGGGAUCCCCCUCCAGAAGCAGCUGGAACAUGCCAACCAACAGUCCGGCUUUACCGAUGCAGUAAGAAAUGACAUAUCAAAUUGAGUCCUUCAAAUCAUAGUAUUAUUAUUCGGCGCUCUGAGGCCCAUGCAUCCACCAGCCAUGCACCCGUCAGCUCCGGGACUGCUGCCCACCCCCUCCAUGGGGGUCCAGAUCCCCACUGCAAAGGCCUCAUUCCAGAGCUCUCCCCAGGCUGCUCCUCGCCACGGCUUCCUCCCCCACAGCCAGAGCGGGCAGAGGUUCUACCACCACGGGAAGUAACUCACCCUCACCUUCAUCUUCACCACCGCAGACACUUCACUCAAGAUUCUGGAGAACCUUUUUCAACAAGUAAUCGAUUGAUUUCAGCAGAAAGUCAUUAUUGUGCCAUCUGAUUGGUGUUUUAUAUCCUGUACAGUUUGUUUUUGUUGACUUUCUUAAAGCGAUCUGUCGACUACAUGCUUCGGUAGACUUUUUUUUUUUUACAAAACUCAAUUUGUAAAGUAGGUUGUUAUUUUAACUACACUGUACAGCAGUUGUGAAUGUGCUCAUGUGCAUUAACAUGUUAAUAUCUUCAUGAAACAGAGCUUAUCCUUUGUAUACUAACAUUCAUUACUAUGAGAGGAGGAUUCAGUGUUUGCGCAGUGGCUUUUAAUGGAAAAAUAUUCAGUUGAACUUAAUCAUUUUAUGAUGUUUUUGGAUUAAAUCAGCAAACAGUCACUCACACGGAUGAAUCCAACUGAAACUGAAAGACUCUAUUCCACUGUUGCUGACUCGUUGAUCACAUUAGAUCAAUAACGCUUGGUUACCGCAAAUGACAUUAAAAUGACUUUUCUGACAAAAUAACAGAUUUUUCCAGUGUUUUCCUCUUCUACAGAAGUCGGCUGUUUUAACACUUUAAGUUGCUAAAUAAAAACAAUAUGCAAACAGAAAA